AUUGAACGCUGGCGGCAUGCCUAACACAUGCAAGUCGAACGAAGCCUUCGGGCUUAGUGGCGCACGGGUGCGUAACGCGUGGGAAUCUGCCCUUGGGUUCGGAAUAACAGAGAGAGAUUUCUGCUAAUACCGAAUGAUGACGUAAGUCCAAAGAUUUAUCGCCCAGGGAUGAGCCCGCGUAGGAUUAGCUAGUUGGUGUGGUAAAGGCGCACCAAGGCGACGAUCCUUAGCUGGUCUGAGAGGAUGAUCAGCCACACUGGGACUGAGACACGGCCCAGACUCCUACGGGAGGCAGCAGUGGGGAAUAUUGGACAAUGGGCGAAAGCCUGAUCCAGCAAUGCCGCGUGAGUGAUGAAGGCCUUAGGGUUGUAAAGCUCUUUUACCCGGGAAGAUAAUGACUGUACCGGGAGAAUAAGCUCCGGCUAACUCCGUGCCAGCCGCCGCAGUAA
This 449-nucleotide ribosomal RNA is filed under the name uncultured bacterium. Its description in RNAcentral is "partial 16S ribosomal RNA". It matches the Rfam family "Bacterial small subunit ribosomal RNA", at positions 30 to 523 of the family's 1533-position model. The record is from RNAcentral.